RNAcentral lists this ribosomal RNA (554 nucleotides) under uncultured bacterium. Its description in RNAcentral is "partial 16S ribosomal RNA". It matches the Rfam family "Bacterial small subunit ribosomal RNA", at positions 355 to 900 of the family's 1533-position model. The record is from RNAcentral.
UAGGGAAUCUUCCACAAUGGACGCAAGUCUGAUGGAGCAACGCCGCGUGAGUGAAGAAGGUUUUCGGACCGUAAAGCUCUGUUGUUGGUGAAGAAGGAUAGAGGUAGUAACUGGCCUUUAUUUGACGGUAAUCAACCAGAAAGUCACGGCUAACUACGUGCCAGCAGCCGCGGUAAUCGUAGGUGGCAAGCGUUGUCCGGAUUUAUUGGGCGUAAAGCGAGCGCAGGCGGAAGAAUAAGUCUGAUGUGAAAGCCCUCGGCUUAACCGAGGAAUUGCAUCGGAAACUGUUUUCUUGAGUGCAGAAGAGGAGAGUAGAACUCCAUGUGUAGCGGUGGAAUGCGUAGAUAUAUGGAAGAAUACCAGUGGCGAAGGCGGCUCUCUGGUCUGCAACUGACGCUGAGGCUCGAAAGCAUGGGUAGCGAACAGGAUUAGAUACCCUGGUAGUCCAUGCCGUAAACGAUGAGUGCUAAGUGUUGGGCAGGCUUCCGCCUCUCAGUGCUGCAGCUAACGCAUUAAGCACUCCGCCUGGGGGAGUACGACCGCAAGGUUGAAAC